Non-coding RNA from Acanthosepion pharaonis, 99 nucleotides. NCBI's taxonomy places the organism in Eukaryota, Metazoa, Mollusca, Cephalopoda, Sepiida, Sepiidae. The record is from the annotation of a GenBank genome assembly.
GUUGAAAUGCUGGUCCUCAUUUGAUCACCGAAGUUAAGCAACAUCGAGCCUGGUCAGUACUUAGAUGGGUGACAGCUUGGGAAUUACCAGUGACUGUAG